CCUACGGGCGGCAGCAGUAGGGAAUAUUGCUCAAUGGGGGAAACCCUGAAGCAGCAACGCCGCGUGGAGGAUGAAGGUUUUCGGAUUGUAAACUCCUUUUGUUAGAGAAGAUAAUGACGGUAUCUAACGAAUAAGCACCGGCUAACUCCGUGCCAGCAGCCGCGGUAAUACGGAGGGUGCAAGCGUUACUCGGAAUCACUGGGCGUAAAGAGCGCGUAGGCGGGAUAGCAAGUCAGAUGUGAAAUCCUAGGGCUUAACCAUAGAACUGCAUUUGAAACUGUUAUUCUAGAGUAUGGGAGAGGUAGGUGGAAUUCUUGGUGUAGGGGUAAAAUCCGUAGAGACCAAGAGGAAUACUCAUUGCGAAGGCGACCUGCUAGAACAUAACUGACGCUGAUGCGCGAAAGCGUGGGGAGCAAACAGGAUUAGAUACCCUUGUAGUC
This 440-nucleotide ribosomal RNA is filed under the name uncultured bacterium. Its description in RNAcentral is "partial 16S ribosomal RNA". It matches the Rfam family "Bacterial small subunit ribosomal RNA", at positions 338 to 795 of the family's 1533-position model. The record is from RNAcentral.